CGACGGUACGCGGGGCAACCUGGCGACGAGUGGCGAACGGGUGAGUAAUACAUCGGAACGUGCCCAGUAGUGGGGGAUAGCCCGGCGAAAGCCGGAUUAAUACCGCAUACGACCUACGGGUGAAAGCGGGGGAUCGCAAGACCUCGCGCUAUUGGAGCGGCCGAUGUCGGAUUAGCUAGUUGGUGGGGUAAAGGCCUACCAAGGCGACGAUCCGUAGCUGGUCUGAGAGGACGACCAGCCACACUGGGACUGAGACACGGCCCAGACUCCUACGGGAGGCAGCAGUGGGGAAUUUUGGACAAUGGGCGCAAGCCUGAUCCAGCCAUGCCGCGUGCGGGAAGAAGGCCUUCGGGUUGUAAACCGCUUUUGUCAGGGAAGAAACGGUCUGGGUUAAUACCUCGGACUAAUGACGGUACCUGAAGAAUAAGCACCGGCUAACUACGUGCCAGCAGCCGCGGUAAUACGUAGGGUGCAAGCGUUAAUCGGAAUUACUGGGCGUAAAGCGUGCGCAGGCGGCUUUGCAAGACAGAUGUGAAAUCCCUGGGCUCAACCUGGGAACUGCAUUUGUGACUGCAUCGCUCGAGUGCGGCAGAGGGGGAUGGAAUUCCGCGUGUAGCAGUGAAAUGCGUAGAUAUGCGGAGGAACACCGAUGGCGAACGCAAUCCCCUGGGCCUGCACUGACGCUCAUGCACGAAGCGUGGGGAGCAAACAGGAUUAGAUACCCUGUAGUCCACGCCCUAAACGAUGUCAACUGUUGUUGGACGCUUGCUGGUCAGUAACGAAGCUACGCGUGAAGUUGACCGCCUGGGGGAGUACGGCCGCAAGGUU
This 828-nucleotide ribosomal RNA is filed under the name uncultured bacterium. RNAcentral describes it as "bacterial SSU rRNA". It matches the Rfam family "Bacterial small subunit ribosomal RNA", at positions 64 to 895 of the family's 1533-position model. The record is from RNAcentral.